RNAcentral lists this ribosomal RNA (450 nucleotides) under uncultured bacterium. RNAcentral describes it as "SSU rRNA". It matches the Rfam family "Bacterial small subunit ribosomal RNA", at positions 26 to 518 of the family's 1533-position model. The record is from RNAcentral.
AGAGCGAACGCUGGCGGCAGGCUUAACACAUGCAAGUCGAGCGGGCGUAGCAAUACGUCAGCGGCAGACGGGUGAGUAACGCGUGGGAACGUACCUUUUGGUUCGGAACAACACAGGGAAACUUGUGCUAAUACCGGAUAAGCCCUUACGGGGGAAAGAUUUAUCGCCGAAAGAUCGGCCCGCGUCUGAUUAGCUAGUUGGUGAGGUAACGGCUCACCAAGGCGACGAUCAGUAGCUGGUCUGAGAGGAUGAUCAGCCACAUUGGGGACUGAGACACGGCCCAAACUCCUACGGGAGGCAGCAGUGGGGAAUAUUGGACAAUGGGCGCAAGCCUGAUCCAGCCAUGCCGCGUGAGUGAUGAAGGCCCUAGGGUUGUAAAGCUCGUUUUGUGCGGGAAGAUAAUGACGGUACCGCAAGAAUAAGCCAGGCUAACUUCGCGCCAGCAGCCGC